This 1069-nucleotide ribosomal RNA is filed under the name Halomonas sp. RNAcentral describes it as "bacterial SSU rRNA". It matches the Rfam family "Bacterial small subunit ribosomal RNA", at positions 401 to 1460 of the family's 1533-position model. The record is from RNAcentral. Lineage: Bacteria; Pseudomonadati; Pseudomonadota; Gammaproteobacteria; Oceanospirillales; Halomonadaceae.
UGGGAAAGAAGGCCCUUAGGGUUUGUAAAAGCACUCUUCAGCGAGGAAGGAACGCCCUGGCGAUUAAUACCCGCCAGGAAAAGACAUCCCUUGCAGAAGAAGCCCCCGGCUAACUCCGUGCCAGCAGCCGCGGUUAUACGGAGGGGGCAAGCGUUUAUCGGAAUUACUGGGCGUAAAGCGCGCGUAGGUGGCUUGAUAAGCCGGUUGUGAAAGCCCCGGGCUCAACCUGGGAACGGCAUCCGGAACUGUCAAGCUAGAGUACAGGAGAGGAAGGUAGAAUUCCCGGUGUAGCGGUGAAAUGCGUAGAGAUCGGGAGGAAUACCAGUGGCGAAGGCGGCCUUCUGGACUGAUACUGACACUGAGGUGCGAAAGCGUGGGUAGCAAACAGGAUUAGAUACCCUGGUAGUCCACGCCGUAAACGAUGUCGACCAGCCGUUGGGUGCCUAGCGCACUUUGUGGCGAAGUUAACGCGAUAAGUCGACCGCCUGGGGAGUACGGCCGCAAGGUUAAAACUCAAAUGAAUUGACGGGGGCCCGCACAAGCGGUGGAGCAUGUGGUUUAAUUCGAUGCAACGCGAAGAACCUUACCUACCCUUGACAUCUACAGAACCUGGAAGAGAUUCCGGGGUGCCUUCGGGAACUGUAAGACAGGUGCUGCAUGGCUGUCGUCAGCUCGUGUUGUGAAAUGUUGGGUUAAGUCCCGUAACGAGCGCAACCCUUGUCCUUAUUUGCCAGCACGUAAUGGUGGGAACUCUAAGGAGACUGCCGGUGACAAACCGGAGGAAGGUGGGGACGACGUCAAGUCAUCAUGGCCCUUACGGGUAGGGCUACACACGUGCUACAAUGGCCGGUACAAAGGGUUGCGAACUCGCGAGAGUAAGCCAAUCCCAGAAAGCCGGUCUCAGUCCGGAUCGGAGUCUGCAACUCGAUUCCGUGAAGUCGGAAUCGCUAGUAAUCGUGAAUCAGAAUGUCACGGUGAAUACGUUCCCGGGCCUUGUACACUUCGCCCCUCACUCCAUGGGAUUGAGUUUGACCAUACUCAGGAUAAUUCGUCACAAGGACCGACUAGA